UUAAAAUAACAACCGCUGAUUCAUUAGUAAGAGUUACUCCAAAGUUCAGUAACUUUACACCAGCUAAUAGGGCUAACAUCAGUAGACCUAAUCCGCCCCAAAAAAAACUUAAACUUCAUCACUAAACCUCCUAAACUUCAAAUUUUAAUUAUUAAACUACCUAAACUAUAAUUCCACAUAUUGAAUUAAAACUGUGAAAUGUGAUAAAUUAAUCGAUAUCAAUCAUCAGUUCUUUUCCACGUAUGUUUCAUAUAUUUAC
This 259-nucleotide long non-coding RNA is filed under the name Brassica napus (rape). RNAcentral's name for it is "long non-coding RNA (BNAP_LNC006319)". Lineage: Eukaryota; Viridiplantae; Streptophyta; Magnoliopsida; Brassicales; Brassicaceae. The record is from RNAcentral.